This 248-nucleotide long non-coding RNA is filed under the name Homo sapiens (human). RNAcentral's name for it is "HSALNT0223213". The record is from RNAcentral. Lineage: Eukaryota; Metazoa; Chordata; Mammalia; Primates; Hominidae.
CGGCAGCAGUGGCGGCGGCCACGGCUGAGGCGUCUACACCAGCGGUCGGUCAGCAAAGAGAAGUGGGUGGAGACCCUGGUAGUAGCUGAUGCCAAAAUGGUGGAGUACCACGGACAGCCGCAGGUUGAGAGCUAUGUGCUGACCAUCAUGAACAUGAUACUUCCUUCCUUUGUGUCAGGACCUGUGCUAGAUGCUGGAAACACAGAAAUGCCUGAUCAGACUACACUCUGCCUGAGACUCUGCCUGAG